AUGCACGCUGGCGGCGUGCCUAAUACAUGCAAGUCGAGCGAACGGACGAGAAGCUUGCUUCUCUGAUGUUAGCGGCGGACGGGUGAGUAACACGUGGAUAACCUACCUAUAAGACUGGGAUAACUUCGGGAAACCGGAGCUAAUACCGGAUGAUAUUUUGAACCGCAUGGUUCAAAAGUGAAAGACGGUCUUGCUGUCACUUAUAGAUGGAUCCUCGCUGCAUUAGCUAGUUGGUAAGGUAACGGCUUACCAAGGCAACGAUGCAUAGCCGACCUGAGAGGGUGAUCGGCCACACUGGAACGGAGACAGGGUCCAGACUCCUACGGGAGGCAGCAGUAGGGAAUCUUCCGCAAUGGGCGAAAGCCUGACGGAGCAACGCCGCGUGAGUGAUGAAGGUCUUCGGAUCGUAAAACUCUGUUAUGAGGGAAGAACAUAUGUGUAAGUAACUGUGCACAUCGUGACGGUACCUAAUCAGAAAGCCACGGCUAACUACGUG
Molecule: ribosomal RNA, 496 nt
Filed under: uncultured bacterium
Lineage: Bacteria
Description: partial 16S ribosomal RNA
Rfam family: Bacterial small subunit ribosomal RNA
Source: RNAcentral